Molecule: ribosomal RNA, 252 nt
Filed under: uncultured bacterium
Lineage: Bacteria
Description: partial 16S ribosomal RNA
Rfam family: Bacterial small subunit ribosomal RNA
Source: RNAcentral
UACGAGGGGGCAAGCGUUGUUCGGAAUUAUUGGGCGUAAAGGGCGCGUAGGCGGUGCGGUAAGUCACCUGUGAAAACUCUGGGCUCAACUCAGAGCCUGCAGGCGAAACUGCCGUGCUUGAGUGUGGGAGAGGUGCGUGGAAUUCCCAGUGUAGAGGUGAAAUUCGUAGAUAUUGGGAAGAACACCGGUGGCGAAGGCGGCGACCUGGUCCGAUACUGACGCUGAGGCGCGAAAGCGUGGGGAGCAAACAGG